UGAUUAUGGCGGCGAGAUUCGGCGCGGGUUGUUUUGUCUGAUGCGUGUUCGUCGCGAGUUUGGUGAGUUGGCGAUCUAGGUUCUCUUCCUCAUUUCGGUCGCGCUCUGCUGAGUUAUAGAAGACUACGGGUCAUUGUUUUAGGAUUUCGGAAUGUUGAAUGAUUGUGUUCUGUUGGGAAAAGAAGAUUGGAGAUGAAUUUAUUGAAAUCAGGAUGAUGCUUUGGGGUUAUGUCCUUGAGAUAUUGCAAUGCUUCUGUUAUUUACAUGGUGAUUAAGCGCUCGUAUUGCCUCUAAAAGGGAAAAUGUGAGGAUACUUCUGCGCCAAUGGGCGAGAGUAGUUGAUUUGGUUCUUCUUCUUGAUAGGGGAUGGUUGACGGGAUGAAUUGAUUUAAAUUCGAGGGAUUCGAGGGUGAAAUUUCUUAAUGUACUUGAUAGAGCCAUUGAUGGUUGUGCAGAGUUCUGAUUUGGGAAUGGCAUUUUCUCCGUCAUGGUUGGAAUGUGUUUCCAACUGGACAGAGUUUCUGUGUGAUCUUGUCCUGAAUGAGUUAUUGGGUGAGCUGGAUUAUGGGUGACUGCUAAAUCUUUAUACCAUGUUUAUGAAUGCGAAAAAAAAUCUGGCGAAAUGGAGCAGCCAAACCAUGGUCAAAUUCAGUUACCGGAUUGGUGUCUGUAUGGUGGAGGAUUAUGCAUAUAUGAUAGGGAGAUUAACUGCACAGACAUUUAUGGCCAAUCCUCAAUCGUAACCUGACAUUGACUCUACAACCAUGCUUAUCAUGGAUGAGCUGCUGUAUGUAAUUUGGUGGAGAUGGUUUUGCUGCACGGCUUGGCUCCACUUGGCCUUUCUCCAUAUCGGUGUGGUACUCCCUUUGCCCCCAAAACUUGGGCCUUACAUAUACAGGAAUUGAAAUACUAUAGCCCUAGAUUCCCGGUCUCCUAUUCUUGCAUUGCAAAAGUAAAGGUUCUGUGUGAAAGACAAGAUCAACAAUGAGACUAGUUUCAUCAGCCUAUAUGAGAUGUGAAGGGUUCCGUUUGCAAAAAUAUAAGAAAAUAGAGGGUUCCAUUGCAAAAAGUAAAGGAUUUUGUGCCUGCUCCUCUUGUCAGGAUUUGGGUGUGAACAUGAUGAUCUAUGGAGCUCUUUGAAGAGUUCAUCGAUGUCAGUCAGGGAGUGAGAAGACUUGGUGCUGCAGCAGUCAACAUGUGCCAUAUAGCCCUCGGGAAUUGCAGAAGCAUACUGGGAAUACUGUCUAAAGCCAUGGGACAUGGCUCCCGGGGUUUCCCAUCAUUGAAGAAGCCGUAGGGGCCGUGACUUGUACGGACGCAGGCAAGUUCUGGGUUUUCGGCAGAUUGCAGCUCCUGGAAAGGAUCAAACCCGCCACUGAGAAACUGAAGGAGGAAGGAAUCGAUUCCUCGUUAUGGUACAAGCCAGAAAAUUAUCACACAGAUCUUUAAAUACGUGUCGGAUUCGGGUAACUUUAUGGCUUUUGUUCAAUAAUAUUAUGAUCUAUGACAAUCUUUAGCGUCUCUUCUCAUCAA
This is a long non-coding RNA of Tarenaya hassleriana, 1533 nucleotides long. RefSeq lists it as uncharacterized. The record is from RefSeq and is a predicted model, not a curated record. The transcript is spliced from 5 exons. Lineage: Eukaryota; Viridiplantae; Streptophyta; Magnoliopsida; Brassicales; Cleomaceae.